UGGCGGCGUGCUUAACACAUGCAAGUCGAGCGGUAAGGCCUUUCGGGGUACACGAGCGGCGAACGGGUGAGUAACACGUGGGUGAUCUGCCCUGCACUUCGGGAUAAUCCUGGGAAACUGGGUCUAAUACCGGAUAUGACCUCAGGUUGCAUGACUUGGGGUGGAAAGAUUUAUCGGUGCAGGAUGGGCCCGCGGCCUAUCAGCUUGUUGGUGGGGUAAUGGCCUACCAAGGCGACGACGGGUAGCCGACCUGAGAGGGUGACCGGCCACACUGGGACUGAGACACGGCCCAGACUCCUACGGGAGGCAGCAGUGGGGAAUAUUGCACAAUGGGCGAAAGCCUGAUGCAGCGACGCCGCGUGAGGGAUGACGGCCUUCGGGUUGUAAACCUCUUUCAGCAGGGACGAAGCGCAAGUGACGGUACCUGCAGAAGAAGCACCGGCUAACUACGUGCCAGCAGCCGCGGUAAUACGUAGGGUGCAAGCGUUGUCCGGAAUUACUGGGCGUAAAGAGUUCGUAGGCGGUUUGUCGCGUCGUUUGUGAAAACCAGCAGCUCAACUGCUGGCUUGCAGGCGAUACGGGCAGACUUGAGUACUGCA
RNAcentral lists this ribosomal RNA (599 nucleotides) under Rhodococcus erythropolis. Its description in RNAcentral is "bacterial SSU rRNA". It matches the Rfam family "Bacterial small subunit ribosomal RNA", at positions 37 to 653 of the family's 1533-position model. Lineage: Bacteria; Bacillati; Actinomycetota; Actinomycetes; Mycobacteriales; Nocardiaceae. The record is from RNAcentral.